UCAUUAUAAGUUUUUGGUUUUUGUAUAUUGGAUCUUAAGUUGCUAAACUAAAAAUGUAUGUAUUGGAAUGAAAUCCUACAGAAACAAGAUGUCUAAUUAGUUUAUGUCAACUAAUCUAGACAAAAGUAAGCAAAUAAUGGGUUGGACGGAUAGUUUACAUUAUAUGAUUCAAGUUUCAAAAAUUCUAUAUAUUCUUGCAAAACUCGUAGGAUAUGCCGAAAUAAAAGUUGCAAUUGAUCACAACAAGAAAAAUGAUAUAACUUAAUUCCUCGAUGGUGUGACAAAAUUUGAACAUUUUUUUUGUAUUACAAUGUCUCUUUAACUCAAGUCCAUGAUAGUGUAAUCAAUUUAAUUGUGUUCUUUUAUAUAAAUUAUUAUCUGAAAGAGUCUUCCCAUAUUUUCUUAAUUUCUGAUUUUUUUUAUUUUAGUACACUUGUUAAUGGAGCUAUCUCUUCAUCUUCCAAGGCAUUCCCUCAUUAAGAUAUUAGGACAAGCUACCCAGUUGAUAUAUGGAUCUGAAAAUUGAAUAAAAGUUGCGUAAAGAUUGCAUCUUUCAUGAAACGAAUAGGAUAAAUAUUUAUAUAGUUGGGUUUCCUUAGCACAAAUGGAGUACCAAUAGACUAGGUUAAUUAAAAAUGUUCUCACCUUGAACGUUAGGCAGGAGGCAAGGUUAGGAGGAACAAAUUUAAAUGGACAAAUUUAUCUUAUAUAAGUAUGUGUUAGGCGUAAAUAAAUUUUUGCUUAGUUGUUAACAAGAUGAAACAUGUUCAAUCUAGUAGAGUUAUUAUGUUGAUGUGAAUGCCUCAAUCGAGAACUUCAUUUUCUCCAGGAUUUUCUGCAUUGGAAGUCAUUGUAUCAUAGGUUAGUGAUAUGUUCAGAGAUGGCUAUGCUUAAUUUCCCCCUUCACCAAAAUCACAGCCAUAGAGAAAACAAACUUUCUUAUGUUUUUAUGUGUUGGCAAAAAAUGUUUCUCAUUGUUAGGUUUAAAAAAGCGAGUAGUGCCAUGAUUCAAAGGCCUCUUUGUUGUCUAAUUAGACCGAAGUAUACUUAUUUUUCGGAUCUACAAUUGUCACUUUUAAAUUCCUGCUAGGUGUUUCAAUUUUGAUCUUUCUCAAAGAAAAUUAGUUUCUUUACUUGAUUUCUUGUUAUGAGUACCAAUGUUUCUAACACCGCCAAUGUCGGUCCCAAGCCCGAAUGAAAAAGGUGGAGGGUUGCUUAAGGCCAUAAAAAGCCAGUGUUGAAAACAUGUUAGUACUCAUAAGCAUGAUCCUAACUGUUUCAUGGUAAGACUAGUCCGUCACAAUAAAUUGAUGCAACAUAUAUUGACCUCUCCAGUUAUUAUGAGAAAUAGAGUUUUCUGUUCCUAGUUCUAACAUUUAAAGUGCCCAUUAGUUCUUUAAAUCAAGGUCUACAAUACCGAAUGAUACUGCUCGUACCGGGCGGUACAUACCGGUCCGUCAAUAGACCAGUACACGGACAGCCCGCUACCGAGCGGUACCAUCAAUUAAGGCAUUAUCGUUAUCGAUUGAGGUGUUAUUAUCGACGGUGAUCGAGGGAGAAGAAAGAAGAGGGAGAAGACGAAGAAAGAAAUAGGAAAAAAAGGUAAAACCUGGAUGUCACCUCUCUCCUCCUCGUCUGUCGACGACUUCUCAUCUGUGCACGGGAGAAGAGGCAUCGGCUUGUGGGGCGGAGAGAAGCGAAGAUUUUUUUUUUUCUUCUCUUAUUGGGCAAUGUCGCCUCGGGCAUCAUCGCAAUAUUUUUGUUUUUUAGAUGUCGUAAUUUUUUUUUUAUCUGCACGUCACCCCGCAUAGAGGUAAACUGUGCAGCUUACCUAUAUAUAUAUAUAUAUAUAUAUAUAUACAUAUAUAUAUAUACAUACAUAUACACACACACACACACAGCGGUAUACCAAAAUAUACCACUCGGUAUAUAGUAUCAUACCGUAUCAAAUAAGUCUUGAAAUUUUGGUAUAGUACAAAAUUUCAAUCCUUGAUUUAAGUGACUUCUUUUAUGGACUAACAUGCAAAUAUCGGGACUGUGUAACUUAUAUAUCAUGAACUAGCAUUGUCCAUAAUGUAAGUUACUUAUAUAAGAAACCAACAAGUAUGCUUUCUAUGGAUGAUAAUUGUUAGGACGGGAAACCACAGCAUGUGGAUAAGGCUCUUAAUGGUGAAAUUUUAUAGGUUGGAUCAAGGUAUGCAAUACCGUACCGUAUUAGUAUUUCGAGGUUGGCUCGGUAUGGUAUAGUACCGUAUACCGAGCGGUACGUCAGGGUGUACCGAGCGGUACACCUAAUUUAGGUGUAAGACCCUCCGAAAAUACCUAAAAAUAAAAUAAAAGUUAGGAUAGGAUUUUUAUGUUAGAAAUAAAUAUAGUAAUAGCAUAAGUUUAGUAAAAUCAAUGUAAAUUAGGUAAGAAUAGUAUCAUAUAUCUUUUUCAGGCUUUGAAGAAUAUCUUAUGCAAGGUUCAUAUUUCAGUUUAGUACGGAUUAUCCUUAUGUAAACAUACCUCUUGAAUAGAAAGUUCUUCCUCUUAAUCUUCCUAAAUUAGCCUCGAUUCAAUUUACAAAUCGUUGUUUUGUAGAGUUUAGGAGAGAACAAAUGUGAGAAAAAAAGAGUUUGAGAUAGUUUAAGAGAGUAUGAGAAUGUAAUGGAGUGAAAUAAAGGAGAAGAAGGGUUUUUAAAUAUCAUAAGAAAGGGUUCCAAUGGUCAAUUUGACCAUUGGAGCACUGUAUCACUGUUACCGAGCAGUUUUAAAUAUUUCUUCCUCUUACUGUAGCAUUGUAGCACUCUAGCAUGUUCUGUCCGGUAGCGGGUGGUCCGCAAACCGGUAUGUCGUCGGACCGGUACGUAUCGCCCGUACCGGUUGGUAUCAUUCUAAAUUGGUUGGAUUAAGAUUGACAAUCCUUGGAACAUGAUGAGGUAAACUACUCCACUCUAUUUGACUUUGUGAACUAAAACUUGAUGGUUAAUUUUUUUUUUAACUUUUUAUUGGCAGCUGUAAUGACAUAUAUGAAUCUCCAAUUGAAUUGUGAGAGACACGAUGGCUAUGUAGGUCCAUCUUCUCAAAGGAUUUGGACUGCCAUUUAAAUGAACAAGUCUCCACAUUGUUAGUUACAGAUGUUCUUCUGUUUCUUCUUUGCAUUUUGUUCUGUAAUAUUUUGUGUCAAACAUUGAAAUAAUUAUAGAUGAUGUGUUCCAUAUUACUUAAUAGAAAUUCUUUUGCUUUUUGGCUUUCCACGUGUUUAAAAGUGUUCUUUCUUAGUUUAGAGGAUUCCACAAUAAGUUUAUGAAGAAACUAAUGUUAAUUAAAUUAUUUUUUCAUGCAUAUUAUGUGAAUGGAUAUGGUUUCUUAUCAAAUCAAUUUACAGCCUGAUUUGGCAAUUUUGUACUUGAAUAGUUGGGUCUGUCUUCAAUAUUUGAUGAAAUUGUUAAAACUGAAGUAACCAGGCACAUGCAACCUACUGAUUACUUGAGCUUGUUUGGGGAAGAAUUCAAAUGAACUGAAGAUUAUUGGGAUGCUUCUUAUUUGAAUGUCUUGGAUAUAUCUGCAGCGGAAGAAGGCAGUCCUCAUGUCUUAUUUGGAUGUGCUUCACAAUGUACUCCUUUUUGUUUUGGGGCCACAUAUGCCAUUUCCUUCAGAUAUUGACCUUUGCAAAUGUUCAUUUCCUAAGGUGGCUGAUCAAGAGUCUUUAGCUGUUUCUUCUAACUUUGUGAUAUGUUCUCAUGGGGCUUCUAGCACAUCCAGUAAUCCGGAUGAAGCAAAGAGAAAGAUUGAUGCAUCUAAAGCUGCCACAAGAAAAGAUGUACUCCAAGAUGCUAAUCUGUAGUUUGCUCCUAGAGAUCUGUCAAAAAUUGUUCUGACAAGUGUUUCAAAUUAUUUUACUGGGGACUGGAUCAGAUUGAAUUUCAGUUGUGGUGUUUCAGAGGUGAAUAAGAUUUCAAAUAACAACUUUCAGAAUAUUGGUUUCUUUGCUGAUUACUUGUAUUCACAAGCAGAUUAUCUACAACUUGUAAACUAUCAAGAUUCGGUAUAUAGGGCUUCCCAAUUUGAACAUUUGGCAGCUGAUUUGUGUUCCCAGCAUGACAACCCCAGAAAGCCAUGAAGCUGCAAUAGAAUCCAUACUCUUGGCUGCAGAAUGUUAUGCCAACUCAUUCUUUAUAAUCGAUUUCAUAUGGAUGCAAUUCAGAGCUUAUGAAUCAGAUGAAAAUCAUUGGAUCCAAAUUCAUGAAUAAAAAUGGAUUAGUGGUGUUUUAUGAAGACCUUAAGAGAUGUAAUGUCAAUCUGGAGACAAUAGCUUAUCUUGAAAGUAAAAGAGAUAUAACUGUUCUACAAAUUCUGCUUCCGCUAAACUGGACCUCGAAUCUGAGAGAAUUUUGGCUCUUUGGAAACCUUGUACAUAUUAUUUUGAAGAUAAUCAGUAGGCUUUAGAAAUAUCACAAGUCGACAUUGAAUCUGAUGUGGCAACUUUGAUUAGGCAGAAUCAACCAUUGCUUUGCCACUUUGUAAUCCUCCUACAGUCUCCCCUCUUUCUACUGCAUUCUGCAACUGAGUUAUCCUGUUCUGUAGAGAAUGUUAAUGACAUUAUACUGCAGUCAGCUGCAAAUCUUAGUGGACAACUUACAAUUUUGUACACCCAACUGAAAGCAGGCAACAUACAACUUGAAAUGGUAAAGUUACAUGGGCUGCCAAGGUGCUGGGCACUUCUUGAAGGAUUAAUCUGGAAAUGAUGAACGGACAUAUCCCAUUGGUAUCAAAAGUGCUGGUUUCAUCUACAGAACUUUAGUUCCACAUUUAUCAUGGAUGCAGAAAAUAUCUAGAUUUUCAA
This is a long non-coding RNA of Musa acuminata AAA Group (dessert banana), 4828 nucleotides long. RefSeq lists it as uncharacterized. The transcript is spliced from 2 exons. Lineage: Eukaryota; Viridiplantae; Streptophyta; Magnoliopsida; Zingiberales; Musaceae. The record is from RefSeq and is a predicted model, not a curated record.